This 253-nucleotide ribosomal RNA is filed under the name uncultured bacterium. Its description in RNAcentral is "partial 16S ribosomal RNA". It matches the Rfam family "Bacterial small subunit ribosomal RNA", at positions 524 to 776 of the family's 1533-position model. The record is from RNAcentral.
UACAGAGGGUGCGAGCGUUGUUCGGAAUUACUGGGCGUAAAGGGCGCGUAGGCGGCGUGACAAGUCACUUGUGAAAUCUCCGGGCUUAACUCGGAACGGUCAAGUGAUACUGUCGUGCUAGAGUACAGAAGGGGCAACUGGAAUUCUCGGUGUAGCGGUGAAAUGCGUAGAUAUCGAGAGGAACACCUGCGGCGAAGGCGGGUUGCUGGGCUGAUACUGACGCUGAGGCGCGAAAGCCAGGGGAGCGAACGGG